UACGUAGGGGGCAAGCGUUGUCCGGAUUUAUUGGGCGUAAAGAGCGUGUAGGCGGCCAGACAGGUCCGUUGUGAAAACUCGAGGCUCAACCUCGAGAUGUCGAUGGAAACCGUCUGGCUAGAGUCCGGAAGAGGAGUGUGGAAUUCCUGGUGUAGCGGUGAAAUGCGCAGAUAUCAGGAGGAACACCGAUGGCGAAGGCAGGUCUCUGGGCAUUAACUGACGCUGAGGAGCGAAAGCAUGGGGAGCGAACAGG
Molecule: ribosomal RNA, 253 nt
Filed under: uncultured bacterium
Lineage: Bacteria
Description: partial 16S ribosomal RNA
Rfam family: Bacterial small subunit ribosomal RNA
Source: RNAcentral